GGCUGGGCUGGGUGGUCAUGGCGCAAGCUAUGCACUACUCUGGUCUGGUCUUUCCUUCUGGGGAUCUAUCGUGCUCUUUACUGGGUGCGGUAGGGAACCAGGACUUUUACUUUGAAAAAAUUAGAGUGUUCAAAGCAGGCAUUUGCUCGAAUACAUUAGCAUGGAAUAAUAGAAUAGGACCCUGGUUCUAUUUUGUUGGUUUCUAGGACCGAGGUA
Molecule: ribosomal RNA, 216 nt
Filed under: uncultured fungus
Lineage: Eukaryota; Fungi
Description: partial small subunit ribosomal RNA
Rfam family: Eukaryotic small subunit ribosomal RNA (bases 91-216)
Source: RNAcentral